AUUUAAAAAAAUUGUAUUUUAACUUUUCUUUUGGCAUGCAUAUUUUUUUAGUAUAGUUAAGACUAAGUUUAUAUCAUACUUUUUUUAACUAUUAUUCUAUUAUAUUCUUUAUUCACUAUUAUUUUAGAAUUAGCUAUUUUAAACAUGUGACAAGUAGUACGACACUGUAUUGAUGUAUGUGAAAUGUAUAGAGUCUUUCAGUUAUCAGAUAAUGUCAAGGAGUUGACAGCAUGGUGUCCGAUUCAAAGUGCGAACCUGUGUACGAGUAACAAUAGUAUUCAAAACCAAAACCUAUUUAAACCAACCAAACCAAAACUAGCGACCAAAAACUAACUUGGCAUUGGUUUAUUUUAAACAUUUAUUAUAUAUAUGUGUGUUUUUUAUAUAAAUGUACUAGCUUGAGUAUAGUGUAUUAAAAACAUUUUUCGUGUAUUUUUAUUGUAAUUUAAAGUAUAU
This is a long non-coding RNA of Hydra vulgaris (swiftwater hydra), 456 nucleotides long. RefSeq lists it as uncharacterized. The record is from RefSeq and is a predicted model, not a curated record. Lineage: Eukaryota; Metazoa; Cnidaria; Hydrozoa; Anthoathecata; Hydridae.